AAUCCAUAGUAUGGAUAUAUCCAUAGCAAAUCCCUAAACCUUUCUCACACUUCAAAUAAUAAUUCACCAUCUUAUUGGCUAAAACUAGUAAUGUCCACUCUAAACUU
Small nucleolar RNA from Coffea arabica (coffee), 107 nucleotides. The record is from RefSeq and is a predicted model, not a curated record. Lineage: Eukaryota; Viridiplantae; Streptophyta; Magnoliopsida; Gentianales; Rubiaceae.